RNAcentral lists this unclassified non-coding RNA (347 nucleotides) under soil metagenome. RNAcentral describes it as "partial contains 5.8S ribosomal RNA, internal transcribed spacer 2, and large subunit ribosomal RNA". The stretch from base 1 to 120 matches the Rfam family "5.8S ribosomal RNA", at positions 35 to 154 of the family's 154-position model. The record is from RNAcentral.
GAUGAAGAACGCAGCGAAAUGCGAUAAAUAAUGUGAAUUGCAGAAUUCAGUGAAUCAUCGAGUCUUUGAACGCACAUUGUGCCCCCUGGUAUUCCGGGGGGCAUGCCUGUCCGAGCGUCAUUGCUGCCCUCAAGCACGGCUUGUGUGUUGGGCCCCCGUCCCCCCCUCCCGGGGGACGGGCCCGAAAGGCAGCGGCGGCACCGCGUCCGGUCCUCGAGCGUAUGGGGCUUUGUCACCCGCUCUGUAGGCCCGGCCGGCGCCUGCCGACCACCAUCAAUCUUUUUUCAGGUUGACCUCGGAUCAGGUAGGGAUACCCGCUGAACUUAAGCAUAUCAAUAAGCGGAGGA